Molecule: ribosomal RNA, 346 nt
Filed under: Vespula kingdonwardi
Lineage: Eukaryota; Metazoa; Arthropoda; Insecta; Hymenoptera; Vespidae
Description: partial small subunit ribosomal RNA
Source: RNAcentral
AAUAAGUGUAGUUAGGAUAAAAAGAGAUUAAAUGAUAAAUCAUUAAAUUUAAAAAAUUUGGCGGUACUUAUAAUUUAGAGGAAUCUGUAUAGUAAUCGAUAAUCCACGAUAAGAGAUACUUAUUAAAAGUUUAUGUAUUGCUGUUUUAAAUAUUUAAUUGAGUUAAAUAUAAUAGAAUUUAUUAAAUUUAAUAAAGUAAUUCAAGUCAAAAUAUAGCUUUUUUAAGAUUUAAUAUGGAUUACAAUUAAUUUAAUUAUUUGGAUUAUAAAAUUUAAUUUUUAUAUGAAAAUGGAUUUAAAAGUAAAUUUAAUUAAUUAAUUAAAUUGAAUUAUUAAUAUAAGUAUGU